Molecule: ribosomal RNA, 631 nt
Filed under: uncultured bacterium
Lineage: Bacteria
Description: bacterial SSU rRNA
Rfam family: Bacterial small subunit ribosomal RNA
Source: RNAcentral
UUUACCUUUGAAUCCGGGAUAACUGUUCGAAAGAAUCGAUAAUACCGAAUGAAGUCAAUGUUUCGUAGGAGAUAUUGAUGAAAGACAGCCUUUUUUUGAAAAGCUGUUGUUUGAAGAUGAGUCCGCGCACCAUUAGCUUGUUGGUGGGGUAAAGGCCUACCAAGGCUUUGAUGGUUAGCUGGUCUGAGAGGAUGAUCAGCCACACUGGAACUGACACACGGUCCAGACUCCUACGGGAGGCAGCAGUGAGGAAUUUUGCGCAAUGGGGGCAACCCUGACGCAGCAACGCCGCGUGAGUGAAGAAGGCCCUUGGGUCGUAAAACUCUGUCAAUGGGGAAGAAGUUAUUGCAUAUUAAUAGUAUGUAGUAUUGACGGUACCCAUGAAGGAAGCACCGGCUAACUCCGUGCCAGCAGCCGCGGUAAUACGGGGGGUGCAAGCGUUAUUCGGAAUUAUUGGGCGUAAAGGGCACGCAGGCGGUCCAACAGGUCAGAUGUGAAAGCCCGGGGCUCAACCCUGGAAGUGCAUUUGAAACCGUUGGACUUGAGUACGGUAGAGGAGAGGGGAAUUCCUGGUGUAGAGGUGAAAUUCGUAGAUAUCAGGAGGAACACCGGUGGCGAAGGCGCCUCUCUG